AUUGAACGCUGGCGAAUGCUUUACACAUGCAAGUCGAACGGUAGAGGGGGCAACCCCUCGAGAGUGGCGAACGGGUGAGUAAUAUAUCGGAACGUGCCCAGUCGUGGGGAUAACGUAGCGAAAGUUACGCUAAUACCGCAUACGAUCUACGGAUGAAAGCGGGGAUCGCAAGACCUCGCGCGAUUGGAGCGGCCGAUGUCAGAUUAGCUAGUUGGUGGGGUAAAGGCCCACCAAGGCGACGAUCUGUAGCUGGUCUGAGAGGACGACCAGCCACACUGGGACUGAGACACGGCCCAGACUCCUACGGGAGGCAGCAGUGGGGAAUUUUGGACAAUGGGCGCAAGCCUGAUCCAGCAAUGCCGCGUGCAGGAAGAAGGCCUUCGGGUUGUAAACUGCUUUUGACAGGGAAGAAAUCACUUAUGCGUAGGUGUCUGACGGUACCUGUAGAAUAAGCACCGGCUAACUCCGUG
This 470-nucleotide ribosomal RNA is filed under the name uncultured bacterium. RNAcentral's name for it is "bacterial SSU rRNA". It matches the Rfam family "Bacterial small subunit ribosomal RNA", at positions 30 to 507 of the family's 1533-position model. The record is from RNAcentral.